RNAcentral lists this transfer RNA (88 nucleotides) under Methylacidimicrobium cyclopophantes. RNAcentral describes it as "tRNA-Ser". It matches the Rfam family "tRNA". Rfam says of the family: Transfer RNA (tRNA) molecules are approximately 80 nucleotides in length. Their secondary structure includes four short double-helical elements and three loops (D, anti-codon, and T loops). Lineage: Bacteria; Pseudomonadati; Verrucomicrobiota. The record is from RNAcentral.
GGACAGGUGGCUGAGCGGUUUAAGGCACUCGACUCGAAAUCGAGCGUGGGGGAAACUCCACCGUGGGUUCAAAUCCCACCCUGUCCGC